Molecule: ribosomal RNA, 227 nt
Filed under: uncultured bacterium
Lineage: Bacteria
Description: partial 16S ribosomal RNA
Rfam family: Bacterial small subunit ribosomal RNA
Source: RNAcentral
AGUAACGCGUGAGGAACCUGCCUCAAAGAGGGGGACAACAGUUGGAAACGACUGCUAAUACCGCAUAAGCCCACGGCUCGGCAUCGAGCAGAGGGAAAAGGAGCAAUCCGCUUUGAGAUGACCUCGCGUCCGAUUAGCUAGUUGGUGAGGUAAUGGCCCACCAAGGCGACGAUCGGUAGCCGGACUGAGAGGUUGAACGGCCACAUUGGGACUGAGACACGGCCCAG